RNAcentral lists this ribosomal RNA (497 nucleotides) under uncultured bacterium. RNAcentral's name for it is "partial 16S ribosomal RNA". It matches the Rfam family "Bacterial small subunit ribosomal RNA", at positions 28 to 507 of the family's 1533-position model. The record is from RNAcentral.
GAUGAACGCUGGCGGCGUGCCUAAUACAUGUAAGUCGAGCGGACGGACGAUACUCUUGCGGCGCUGAUGUUAGCGGCGCACGUGUGUGUAACGCGUGUAUAACCUACCUAUAAUACUGGUAUAACUUCGGGAAACCGGCUCUUAUACCGUAUGAUCUUUUGAACCGCGUUGUUGAAUGGUGAAAGACGGUCUUUCUGGCAGUUAUAGAUGCAUCCGCGCUUCAUUAGAUAGUUGGUAAGUUAACGGCUUACCAAGGCAACGAUGCAUAGCCGACCGGAGGGGCUGAUAGGCGACAUGGGAAGGGGACCAGGGUCCAGACUCCUACGGGAGGCAGCAGAAGGGAACGUUCCGCAAUGGGCGAAAGCAUGACGGAGCAAGCGCGAGUGAGUGACGAAGGUGUUCGGAGCGUAAAAAUGUGUUAUUAGGGAAGAACAGAUGUGUAAGUAAAUGUGCAGAUAUUGACGGUAACUAAUAAGAAAGCAACGGCUAACUACGUG